This 478-nucleotide ribosomal RNA is filed under the name uncultured bacterium. Its description in RNAcentral is "partial 16S ribosomal RNA". It matches the Rfam family "Bacterial small subunit ribosomal RNA", at positions 28 to 507 of the family's 1533-position model. The record is from RNAcentral.
GAUGAACGCUGGCGGCGUGCUUAACACAUGCAAGUCGAACGGGAAUUAUUUUAUUGAAACUUCGGUCGAUUUAAUUUAAUUCUAGUGGCGGACGGGGGAGUAACGCGUGGUUAACCUGCCUUAUACAGGGGGAUAACAGUCAGAAAUGGCUGCUAAUACCGCAUCAGCGCACAGAGCUGCAUGACUCAGUGUGGAAAACUCCGGUGGUAUAAGAUGGACCCGCGUUGGAUUAGCUUGUUGGCAGGGUAACGGCCUACCAAGGCGACGAUCCACAGCCGGCCUGAGAGGGUGAACGGCCACAUUGGGACUGAGACACGGCCCAGACUCCUACGGGAGGCAGCAGUGGCGAAUAUUGCACAAUGGGGGAAACCCUGAUGCAGCGACGCCGCGUGAAGGAAGAAGUAUCUCGGUAUGUAAACUUCUAUCAGCAGGGAAGAUAGUGACGGUACCUGACUAAGAAGCCCCGGCUAACUACGUG